UAUGAUAUAGAUGGCUGGGGACCUCAUGCAUACUUUCAGAUGUUGGCAGAAUCUCGGAAUGGUUCUGAGUCUUAUAAUAACAUGAAUUGCCUUAAUGUGCGGCAAUCAGAGCUUCAGAGUGUAUAUAUUGAUUCUCAACAUCAGAAUGUCCUUAAUCGGGACACAAGCCCCAUUCUGGAGGGAGCAGAGGGUGAGAGGAGACAUUGACUUCAG
Molecule: unclassified non-coding RNA, 213 nt
Filed under: Hevea brasiliensis (rubber tree)
Lineage: Eukaryota; Viridiplantae; Streptophyta; Magnoliopsida; Malpighiales; Euphorbiaceae
Source: RNAcentral